AAUGCCGUACUAUUAUUUUCCUUCACUUUUGUCCGUAUCAGCUGCUAUGAAACUGUUUCUAUAGAAAUGACUCGAAACGAAGACGAUGCGUCGGCGAAUGUGUCCACCCGUCUGUUCUCCUAUACGCCAUUUUUAAAAUUCCAGAUUAUGAUGUCAGUUUUUUUAUCUAUAUUAUUCGAUACAAAUGUAAGUAUAUUAUUUUGAAACAAAGUUGGAGUAGGGAAU
This is a non-coding RNA of Cinara cedri, 225 nucleotides long. The record is from the annotation of a GenBank genome assembly. NCBI's taxonomy places the organism in Eukaryota, Metazoa, Arthropoda, Insecta, Hemiptera, Aphididae.